This 492-nucleotide ribosomal RNA is filed under the name uncultured bacterium. Its description in RNAcentral is "partial 16S ribosomal RNA". It matches the Rfam family "Bacterial small subunit ribosomal RNA", at positions 29 to 507 of the family's 1533-position model. The record is from RNAcentral.
AGUGAACGCUGGCGGUAGGCCUAACACAUGCCAGUCGAACGGCAGCACAGUAAGAGCUUCCUCUUACGGGUGGCGAGUGGCGGACGGGUGAGGAAUACAUCGGAAUCUACUUUUUCGUGGGGGAUAACGUAGGGAAACUUACGCUAAUACCGCAUACGACCUACGGGUGAAAGCAGGGGAUCUUCGGACCUUGCGCGAUUGAAUGAGCCGAUGUCGGAUUAGCUAGUUGGCGGGGUAAAGGCCCACCAAGGCGACGAUCCGUAGCUGGUCUGAGAGGAUGAUCAGCCACACUGGAACUGAGACACGGUCCAGACUCCUACGGGAGGCAGCAGUGGGGAAUAUUGGACAAUGGGCGCAAGCCUGAUCCAGCCAUACCGCGUGGGUGAAGAAGGCCUUCGGGUUGUAAAGCCCUUUUGUUGGGAAAGAAAAGCAGCAGGUUAAUACCCCGCUGUUCUGACGGUACCCAAAGAAUAAGCACCGGCUAACUUCGUG